This 445-nucleotide ribosomal RNA is filed under the name uncultured soil bacterium. RNAcentral's name for it is "bacterial SSU rRNA". It matches the Rfam family "Bacterial small subunit ribosomal RNA", at positions 26 to 518 of the family's 1533-position model. The record is from RNAcentral.
AGAACGAACGCUGGCGGCAUGCCUAAUACAUGCAAGUCGAACGAAGGCUUCGGCCUUAGUGGCGCACGGGUGCGUAACGCGUGGGAAUCUGCCCCUUGGUUCGGAAUAACAGUUGGAAACGACUGCUAAUACCGGAUGAUGACGAAAGUCCAAAGAUUUAUCGCCAAGGGAUGAGCCCGCGUAGGAUUAGCUAGUUGGUGAGGUAAAGGCUCACCAAGGCGACGAUCCUUAGCUGGUCUGAGAGGAUGAUCAGCCACACUGGGACUGAGACACGGCCCAGACUCCUACGGGAGGCAGCAGUAGGGAAUAUUGGGACAAUGGGCGAAAGCCUGAUCCAGCAAUGCCGCGUGAGUGAUGAAGGCCUUAGGUUGUAAAGCUCUUUUACCCGAGAUGAUAAUGACAGUAUCGGAGAAUAAGCCCCGGCUAACUCCGUGCCAGCAGCCGC